GAUCCGCCACACUGGAACUGAGACACGGUCCAGACUCCUACGGGAGGCAGCAGUGGGGAAUUUUGGACAAUGGGGGCAACCCUGAUCCAGCCAUGCCGCGUGAGUGAGGAAGGCCUUCGGGUUGUAAAGCUCUUUCGGCCGGGAAGAAAUCGCAUAGGCCAAUACCCUGUGUGGAUGACGGUACCGGAAUAAGAAGCACCGGCUAACUACGUGCCAGCAGCCGCGGUAAUACGUAGGGUGCGAGCGUUAAUCGGAAUUACUGGGCGUAAAGCGUGCGCAGGCGGUUUUGUAAGACAGGCGUGAAAUCCCCGGGCUUAACCUGGGAACUGCGUUUGUGACUGCAAGGCUAGAGUACGGCAGAGGGGGGUGGAAUUCCACGUGUAGCAGUGAAAUGCGUAGAGACGUGGAGGAACACCAAUGGCGAAGGCAGCCCCCUGGGUCGAUACUGACGCUCAUGCACGAAAGCGUGGGUAGCAAACAGGAUUAGAUACCCUGGUAGUCCACGCCCUAAACUAUGUCAACUAGGUGUUGGGUGGGUAAAACCAUUUAGUACCGUAGCUAACGCGUGAAGUUGACCGCCUGGGGAGUACGGCCGCAAGGUUAAAACUCAAAGGAAUUGACGGGGACCCGCACAAGCGGUGGAUGAUGUGGAUUAAUUCGAUGCAACGCGAAAAACCUUACCUACCCUUGACAUGCCAGGAACUUGCCAGAGAUGGCUUGGUGCCCGAAAGGGAGCCUGGACACAGGUGCUGCAUGGCUGUCGUCAGCUCGUGUCGUGAGAUGUUGGGUUAAGUCCCGCAACGAGCGCAACCCUUGUCGUUAAUUGCCAUCAUUUGGUUGGGCACUUUAACGAGACUGCCGGUGACAAACCGGAGGAAGGUGGGGAUGACGUCAAGUCCCCAUGGCCCUUAUGGGUAGGGCUUCACACGUCAUACAAUGGGCGGUACAAAGGGUUGCCAAGCCGCGAGGCGGAGCCAAUCCCAGAAAGCCGAUCGUAGUCCGGAUUGCAGGCUGCAACUCGCCUGCAUGAAGUCGGAAUCGCUAGUAAUCGUGGAUCAGCAUGUCACGGUGAAUACGUUCCCGGGUCUUGUACACACCGCCCGUCACACCAUGGGAGCGGGUUCCGCCAGAAGUAGGUAGCCUAACCGCAAGGGGGGCGCUUACCACGGCGGGGUUCGUGACUGGGGUGAAGUCGGAACAAGGUA
This 1205-nucleotide ribosomal RNA is filed under the name metagenome. RNAcentral describes it as "bacterial SSU rRNA". It matches the Rfam family "Bacterial small subunit ribosomal RNA", at positions 302 to 1498 of the family's 1533-position model. The record is from RNAcentral.